RNAcentral lists this ribosomal RNA (468 nucleotides) under uncultured bacterium. Its description in RNAcentral is "partial 16S ribosomal RNA". It matches the Rfam family "Bacterial small subunit ribosomal RNA", at positions 28 to 507 of the family's 1533-position model. The record is from RNAcentral.
GACGAACGCUGGCGGCGUGCUUAACACAUGCAAGUCGAACGGAAAGGCCCUGCUUUUGUGGGGUGCUCGAGUGGCGAACGGGUGAGUAACACGUGAGUAACCUGCCCUUGACUUUGGGAUAACUUCAGGAAGCUGGGGCUAAUACCGGAUAGGAGCUCCUGCUGCAGGGUGGGGGUUGGAAAGUUUCGGCGGUUGGGGAUGGACUCGCGGCUUAUCAGCUUGUUGGUGGGGUAGUGGCUUACCAAGGCUUUGACGGGUAGCCGGCCUGAGAGGGUGACCGGCCACAUUGGGACUGAGAUACGGCCCAGACUCCUACGGGAGGCAGCAGUGGGGAAUAUUGCACAAUGGGCGGAAGCCUGAUGCAGCAACGCCGCGUGCGGGAUGACGGCCUUCGGGUUGUAAACCGCUUUCGCCUGUGACGAAGCGUGAGUGACGGUAAUGGGUAAAGAAGCACCGGCUAACUACGUG